This 782-nucleotide ribosomal RNA is filed under the name uncultured bacterium. RNAcentral's name for it is "bacterial SSU rRNA". It matches the Rfam family "Bacterial small subunit ribosomal RNA", at positions 8 to 798 of the family's 1533-position model. The record is from RNAcentral.
AGAGUUUGAUCAUGGCUCAGGAUAAACGCUGGCGGUGUACAUAAGACAUGCAAGUCGAACGGGAGAAGACAGGAAGAUUUAUCUACUUGUUGGACACCGUGGCGGACGGGUGAGUAACACGUAAGUAACCUGCCUAUAAGAGGGGAAUAACAGUGAGAAAUUACUGAUAAUACCGCAUAAGCUGGAGGUAUCGCAUGAUACAUUCAGAAAAGAUUUAUCGCUUAUAGAUGGGCUUGCGUCUGAUUAGCUAGUUGGUGAGAUAACAGCUCACCAAGGCGACGAUCAGUAGCCGGAUUGAGAGGUUGAACGGCCACAUUGGGACUGAGACACGGCCCAGACUCCUACGGGAGGCAGCAGUCGGGAAUAUUGCACAAUGGAGGAAACUCUGAUGCAGUGACACCGCGUAUAGGAAGAAGGUCUUAGGAUUGUAAGCUAUUGUCGUGUGAGAAGAAAAUGACCAUCACAGGAGGAAGCCCUGGCUAAAUAUGUGCCAGCAGCCGCGGUAAUACAUAUGGGGCGAGCGUUAUCCGGAUUUAUUGGGUGUAAAGGGUGCGUAGGCGGGAAAAUAAGUCAGUAUGUGAAAUCCCUCGGCUCAACUGAGGAACUGCAACUGAAACUAUUUUUCUUGAGUGUUGAAGGGGAAAGUGGAAUUCCUAGUGUAGCGGUGAAAUGCGUAGAGAUUAGGAGGAACACCAGUGGCGAAGGCGACUUUCUGGGCAACAACUGACGCUGAGGCACGAAAGUGUGGGGAGCAAACAGGAUUAGAUACCCUGGUAGUCCAA